ACGAAAGUAUUUUUUGGAAGUCAUUUACUAUUUUUUAUAAAUUAUGUAGCUAUUAAAAUGGCUAUUUAAAACAUGUCCUAUUUUUAUAUCAAUUCUAGCCCUAAUUCAACCCAAUACCAGCCCAAUCCAAUUAAAAUGUACCCACACCAAACCCUGAAGACCCGAUUCGGCCCCAAUACCCUUUAAUCUCGGCCAUUGAUCAUAAGAUCAACGACCAAAAACACCCCUUACCUAAAAUAAACCAAAUGACACCCCCAAACCCUUUCAUUCAAUACUAUCCGCCACCUGCAACCCCUCUCUUCUCUCAAACGCUCUCAAACCUAACCCUAAUCAAGCCUCACUGUCACUCAUCUAUGGCUAUAUGUGAUGGUUUCCCACCACUCCCAAGCCUCUAGUAGCCUCUCUCACGUUGGUAUUACCAUCCAAGGGUCCUCAAGGGACCACAAUCAGUCGGGUUGCAUCUAUGGUCCCUUUCUCGCCUGUUUCAGGCUAUUCCAAUAUGAUUCCGAGUAAGAUCGUCCUAUAUCGACUAUGAUCUAUGAGGUUUUAAGCGUGUCUUUACCUCUGUGUUGUUCUCUUCGAAACCCUAAUUUUUUUUCUGAACCUCUUACAUGGGUACAAAUGUGAGAUGAUAUAGACUUGUUUCAUAUGGGUUUUACAAUAACCUUGUGAUUUUUUACAAGAAUCGUAUCAUUUUCGAAUGAUUUUUCUUCUUUCUAUAAACAAGGGUUUUCGAAAUUUUCUCUUUUCAAAACUUGGUAAUUUUUGAGUGUUUGAUAUUCUACUUCUUACUGUGUUUUAACUGAUUUCAUAAGUUUGCUACAAUCUAAACUUGUUUAUAAUAAAAAUCCUAAUUUUCUGACAUUUCCUUGUUUGGCUUCUGAGUGCUAGUGUACUGAUUAUGUUCUUGCGUUGGUUCUUGUGAUUUCUCUGUAGCCAUUUGAAUAUCUCGUGGUUUUUUGUCCUAAUAUGCCUUUUUUGAAUUUCUUAGUUGAACCCUUCACUGAUUUUAUAUGUUUGUGUUCAUCCUAACUAUUCAUCUUGAAUCAGUGUCGCCUUAAAUAUUUGUUAUGAUAAAAUUAUGUGUCGAAUCCUAACUGUUCAAUUCUUACCUUAUUUUAUCUGCUAAACUUGCUUGCUCUUUCAUGAUUUUUCUCAUUGAUUGAACCCUGGAUAAUUCUGAAGUCCUUAUUUCUUGGUUUGAUUUGAACACUUUUUCUUAACAAACUUUCGAUUCUUGCCUCUCUACUCAAUUUAAUUGAACUACUUGCGUUAAUUAAUUUUCCCUUGCCUUAUUUUUUAUUUUGCUGAUUCUUACUGAUUGUUUCCUUAAUUGAAACCCUUGUGUAUUCACCCCUAAUUACCUAUUCUGUACAUAAGCUGUACUUGAUUUCCUUCCUUAAGUAACUAUCCGCUUUUACCAUUGAUUGAUUAUCCCUUGAUUAAAGGGAAGACCAACUGAUUUUACAUGUGAUUCAUUCCCUGAAUUUCUCUAACUGCUACUUUGAUCCCUUACCUUAUUUUGCUAAGCUUUUGACUACUAGAUAAACUCUCAAAUAUUCUCACUUAAAAAAGAGCUAACAUUAGUUCACAAAAGCACACUUACACUCUAAAGCUCUCUUUUCUCCUCUGCUACUUGAGAUAUUUACUGAUCUAGCCGGCUGAAAGCCACGGCUAGGCAUUGGAACUACAUAUGUUUUUAUAUUUCUACACUCUUUUCUUCAACUGGUAUGUCUCUAGUUAAGUUUUGAAAUCCAAGCCCUAUGUGUUUCAUUCCUGCACAAGUUUAUCAGCUAUGAACUCAACUUGCAUUCAUGUUUACUUAUUUGCCUAGCAUGUCUAAACUUUAUCCUGUUUAAUGUAUGAUUAACGUAUCUACACUUCACCUAGUUAUUUGAUACUUAACCAGUCUGUUUGUGAAUAUAUGUUCAAUCCCCUAACUAUGUGAUCAUGUUGGCCAUUUGAUGUAUGUGAUCGACCCUGUCUGUAUGUUUAAUCCUGUUCAAGACAUGUCAGGCUUUCUGUACUACAACUGUGAUCUAUGUCUUAACUAUUAUGGUCCAUGACUAACCUGUUAAGUCUGUAAGACCCUAAGUGUUUUAUGUAGUUUGUUGACUAUAUGUUUCCUAUAUACCUUAUCCAUGUACCCCAAUGUGACUCUUCUAUGCCCAACCCCUUUAUCCCCAUGUGAGAUCUGUUUUGUUGGGUGUUUAUGAAUCUAGAUGUUUUAUGACCAAUUGAUGUGUGAUGUUUUCAAAAGAGUUCUGGUACUCUUCUCAAAUUGUCUUUUACCACCAAACUAUUUCCUGUUUCAGAAAACAUUUUCACCCAUAAAUUCAUCUCUGUACUAUUUUGAAAACCUUUUCUAAACUAUGCCAAACACUCUCACUCUAUUAUUAGAAUAAUAGGUUCUGCCCCUCUGAUAUGUGUACGGCCUUGAGAUCUCUCUGAACUUUGGCAUGUUAGAGCCGGCCUUUCCACACUGCACCUAAAUCAGUUAUUAUUUGAGAAAAGGUGUAUGUGUGAGCACUGCCCGGGAUCCUUGAGGUCCUUAGGGAACUCUGACACACCUAGAGAUGGAAUUGGCUAUGAACUUUGGCAUUUGAGGCUAUUGGAGGAUUGGAAGUCAUUUAGUCCUACUGCAGGCUCCCUCUAGAUUAAUUUCUAUUUAGUUAAGUAGUUUUUUCAGUUAAUUCAUUCGUCUGUAAUAAUUAUUAUAAACAAACAUUGAG
This 2732-nucleotide long non-coding RNA is filed under the name Nicotiana benthamiana. RNAcentral describes it as "long non-coding RNA (NBEN_LNC018601)". Lineage: Eukaryota; Viridiplantae; Streptophyta; Magnoliopsida; Solanales; Solanaceae. The record is from RNAcentral.